CCUUUUGCAUCAUGGUUUAACUAGUUUAACCAAGCAAAACGAACUUUAAGUUUGACCCCCCGAAACUAAGCGAGCUACUUCAGAACAGCCUUACGGGCCAACCCAUCUCUGUUGCAAAAGAGCGGGAAGAUUCUUAAGUAGAGGUGACACACCUACCGAGCUUGGAGAUAGCUGGUUAUUCAAAAAAAGGAUAUAGUCCAACUUUAAACCUCAAUAUAGCCCAAAAUAUACACACAGGUUUAAAUUUUAUUCAAAUAGGGUACAGCCUACUUGAAACAGGAUACAACCUAUAAUGCAGGGUAAUGCUUCACUAUGUAAUUAAGUAGGCCUAAAAGCAGCCAUCUUACAAAAAGCGUUACAGCUUCACUACACAUAUCACUAAUCCUAAUUAAAACCCAAAACCCUCCCCCCAUAUUGAAUGACUCCAUAUUUGUAUGGAAAACCCUAUGUUAAAACUAGUAACAAGAAUGUAUUCUCCACAAAGCACGUGUAAGCCGAAAUGAACCACCCACCGGCAUUUAUCGCCAAUGAAUAGACAAUAGCAACACCACAAGAAAACCCUAUUCCCCAUCAGCGUCAACCUUACACUAGAGCUUCCCUGGAAAGAUUAAAAAAUAGAGGAAGGAACUCGGCAAAUAGCAACCCCGCCUG
RNAcentral lists this ribosomal RNA (651 nucleotides) under Choerophryne sp. SJR2279. RNAcentral describes it as "partial 16S ribosomal RNA". The stretch from base 1 to 454 matches the Rfam family "Bacterial large subunit ribosomal RNA", at positions 604 to 1301 of the family's 2925-position model. The record is from RNAcentral. Lineage: Eukaryota; Metazoa; Chordata; Amphibia; Anura; Microhylidae.